CCAGGCCAGGGAUUGAACCUGUGCCACAGCAGUGACCUGAGCCACAACAGUUGCAACACUGGAUCCUUAAUGCACUGAGCCACCAGGCAACUCUAAGGCCCUGAGAAUUUAAGGUGCCCCACACUGCCUUCAUCUUUGGAAAGUCAGUGCUUUCUGUAGGCUCACAGGACACUGAUUCAUCCAAUUUUGGCCUUACAUAAUCAUGAAUAUUUAUUAUAUACAAUUCUUUUUUUUUUUUUUGAGGGGGCUUUUUAGGGCUACACCCAUGGCAUAUGGAGGUUCCCAGGCUAGGGGUUGAAUCAGAGCUGCAUGGUGUGUGUGUGUGUGUGUGUGUGUGUGUGUGUGUUUGUGUGUUUUCUUUUUGUCCUUUCUCUGUUAAAUCUGUGUGCUUUUAGUGCAACACAUUUUAUUUUUCCAUCUGUAUGAUUUGCUUGAAGCUUGGUAUUUACAAUCAUAAAAGAAAAUAUGCUAAAUGUAUGAAGAAAAAUACAUUUUGUUGUAAAAUCUGAUUAUUCCAUACUGUUUAAGUCUGUUUCAAUGAGAAGGUUGUAAGAGGGUUUUGGCAUUAAUCUUCCAGAGUUUAGUAUUUGUUCAUGACAUGAAAAUGAGUCGGCAGCCAAUCAUUUCAUUAGACCUGUAGAAUCUUCUUCCAUUCCCCCUGUUACUGAUGUGGGUCAGCCUCUCUUUUAUUUUUUUCUCUUGGUAAAAUGUACCUAACAUAAAAGUGACCAUUUUAAGCACUUUUAAGUGUACAAGUAGAUUCACAUAAUUGUGCAACCUCCUCAUCAUUUUGUACCUGGGUUCCUGAGACAGCCUUCAGAAUCCAGUCUUGCUUCUAGGUUUGCCCCCAUUAAGGAAAGAAAUAGAAACCUUAUCUUUGUUGACCUAUUUUCACCACAUGCACGGGAGAAAAACGGAAAAAUGGAGGGGGUGUUCUUUGCCAUUUCUCCGGUGCUUUAGGCUACCUAGGUGGAACUUUAUCUUCAUCCGCAGAUAAAGUUCCAGGGGCAAAGAAGUGCAUGUUCCUGCUGCACCUGCGCAUCCCUAAUGCAGGUUUACUCCUUGCUCCGGGGACAUCACAGCCAAAGCGAUUGUUCUGUGAGCCUGGAAAACAUAAAUGCUCUUAAACUCAUUUAGCGUCAAAGCGUCUGCCACCAGAAGCACAAAUUUAGAGGUAAAAUCUUUAGCUUUAUACUGUGCAGAACUAAUCACUUCAAAAAACUAAAGUAGAACUAGUCAUUUCAAAAAAUUAAGAGGCAACGCUCUUAGAUGCCUGAACCUGGUACCCAGGGCACAGAGCGUAAAGGAGCCGGCCCCGCCCCGGCCCCACCCCCCGCCGCUGACGUCACCUGCUCUGCCCUGAGUCUGGAGCUGUCUUGGGAGGUAAGGGCAUCAAAAGUGAGGAGCCUGUUGACCAAACUGCUUCGGGUUUGGAGCCUUUGGCAGUGCAGUUUUGUAGCACUAGAUGUCAGUGUGGGCUUUCCCGACCGCCACCCUCGCUCCUCUGCAGGAGAUGUACCAGCCGGCACCCUGGAUCCUUCCUCAAGUCCUGGCAAACACAGGGCUAUUUUCAGAACUGUAAUUUCACCAAAUAUAUUAUCUACUUACAUAUUUUGACUUUUCAGAGUUCUUUUAAAACACAGAAACUUAGACUCAAGGGCUGUUCUUUUUAAUGCGGUAACCUUCUAAUCUCAGUGCUUGCACCCGAAAGGCAGCCUACCAUGUGAUGGAAAGUCUCAGCCCGUGAUCCUCUUAGGGUCUUUUAAAAGCAGCAUGCCACCUCACAUACCUGGAGUGCCCAGCUUUAGGAAACCAAGCCAUGCUACCAGGGCUCAAGAAUGGGGCAGGAAGCCAAGAAAAAUAUAUAUGAUUAGCCACAUAAGGAUUUCAUGGCCAUGUUAAUAGAUUUUUUUUUUUUUUUUGAGGCAGCUUGUAAUCAGGGAGCUUCUGAAGUCUCAAAGAACAGUCAUUACAUUACUUUUCUAUUGCUGCUGUAACAAAUUACCACAAACUGAGGUGCUUAAAACACAAAUUUAUUAUCCUGCAAUUUUAGAGGCAGAAAGCCAAAAUGGGUCUCCACUGAGCUAAAGUCAAGAUGUUGGCAGGGCUGUGUUCCUUUUGGAGGCUCUGGGGAGAAUCCAUUUUCUUGCCUUUUCCAGCUAUUAGAAGCCACCAGCAUUCCUUGGCCCAUGGCCCCUCUGUCUUCAAAGCCAGCGAUGGCAUUGAGUCCUUUCUGCACUACACACUAAGCUGCCUUUGCCUCUCCUCCUUCUUCUUUCAUCUUUUGUAGGGAACCUUGUUGGGUUUUUUGGUUUGGUUUGGGUUUGGGUGUUUUUGUUUUUUGUGGGUUUUUUGGUUUUUGUUUUGACAGCACCUGUGGUGUGUGGAAGUUCCCGAGCCAGGGAAUGAACCCAUGCCACAGCAGCAACCUGCAUCACAGCCGUGACAAUGCCAAAUCCUUAAUCCGCUGUGCCACCAGGAAACUCCUACAAGAAACCUUGUAAUUAAAUUGGGUCCACUUAUAUAAUACAGACAAUGUCCCUAUCACAAGACCCUUAAUUUAUUUACACCCAUAAAGUCCUUCUUGCCAAGUAAGGUAACAUAUUCACAGGUUCCAGGGAUGAGGGCACAGACAUCUUUAGGUGGGCAUUUUUCUGCCUAUCGAAAUUGUUAUUUUAAAUAAAAUAAGACGCAGUUUUUGAGGUGAUGAACUUUUGUAGCAGACUGCGUGGGAAAAUACCAAGGUCUAAAUAUCCUUCACUUGUGCAACGUUAGCAAGGAAGAAAGAUAAUUUGCCACAGCCGGCAUUGAUAUUUGGUCAUCCUCCAACCUGACUGUGCACAGCGCUACCUCUGCUGCCCCUUGUGACUCUCCAUCUUCAGGAUGCCUGUCCUAGGAACAGCAACGAGUUGGUUCGGGGUGAACAGACAGAGAGGGGAAGAUGUGAUUCUUGCACCGAGAAGCAUUGUGCAAAAUGAAACCCAGGGCUCUGAGAAACCAGUUUACACCACCAUGCAAAUUCAAUAUGGGACUGGAUGUCUAAAGCUAACAGCAUUUAACCCCAUGCCUUGCCACAUCCUAAAGGCUUAGAUCUGCCUGGUAAAUAAAGCUGAAUUCAUAUCCCCACUGCUCAGUCUCGAUCUUUCCUCCAUCUUUCCUACCCUGUGCUCCCAGGGACUCAAAACCUUGCCUGUCAUCCUUGAGUGUCCCUUCUCGGUCAUGCACAAUAUCCGGUUGGUCUCCAGGACCUAUGGUAGCUACUGUCUUAGUAGCUUUUGAGUCUCCUAAUUAGUCUUCUGUCUCACUGUGCUUUCCUCCCUCCUGUCAAGAAAUUCUCCAAAAUACUCCAGAGUUAUCUUUCUAAACUGUAUAUAUAGUUAUGCUACUUCCCUCUUUGGCGAAGUGGUUCCCUUUUGUCUCCUGGGUUGAUUCCAAGCUCUUAGCCCAGCCGACCAAGCUAGUCAGCCUCUGCCUCAACCUAUUUUUGCAGCCUAUUUGCUCGCUUAUAGCCUCCGCCUCCUCCUCAUUCUGGCUCUAAGGGACCGCUUGCUGUUCUUUGGAUGCUCAGAGCUCUCCCAUGUUUGAUGCUCUCCCCAGCCUGGAAUGCCUUUGGCUGCGUAAGCCAACUCUCUCUCAAGAUUCAGCUCAGUAUCACUUCUGGGAAUUCCUCUUUGACCUGCACCCAACCCCCAUCCCUGCACUCGGCUCCAGCACUGCAGUCGAACCAUCUCAUUAUUUAUAUCUAUGUCCCCUGUCUCUGUGCUGGAAAGCUUUUGAAGGCGGGGACCCUUGGUUUCAUGUUGUAUCUCCAAAUGGGAAGCACAGAGCAUGGUCAUUACAAAUGCACACUUUUUUUUCUAAAAGAAUGAAGCAGCAGUUCCCAAGGUAUUCUGAUAUUUCCAUGCACCAGAGAUGACCUAGUUCAGGGCUAUGUUCCAAAACCUACCCUGUUUAGACUUGUAUCCCUAGAGUGCAGCCAGAGCCCAGCUAGUUUCUGGGAAAAAGAGGGUGGGGCAAGUUGAACGGUAGCUCUUAUUGCUCUGUUUUCUUUCUGGUUGCCAGGGAGAGAUCAUCCUGCAAUUAUGAGUUUGCCACUUCUAACCUGGCCUCACCUGGGGACCGACAUCAAUCAAUAACACCUCAAAUGGGAUUGGCCACUGAAGGUAUGACCUGCCCUGGCUGAAAAGCAUAGGAGAUGGCCAGUGUGACACAUGCAAACCGAGUGUGGUAAUGACAGCCAGUAGUGAUGGUAAUGACAGUCAGUAGUGAUGCAGGACAGGUUUCUUGUCCCUGCUGCCCCUCGUGAUCCACAGCAGUGACGGAUGUCUCCUGUCUGCAGACUGUCUUAGAAAAAGCAGGCACUGUGGGGAGUUAAAAAUAAAACAGAAACAGAGUUCUGUACUUGGGAGGCUUAUGCAAUCCAUCGAGGCCUAAAAUAAGGGGCUUGCUUUUACUGGGGCUUUUGGCUACCUCUUGGGGUAAGGGAGGAGGUGGUAAGGGAAAAUGCCUUUUAUUACU
RNAcentral lists this long non-coding RNA (4518 nucleotides) under Sus scrofa (pig). RNAcentral describes it as "lncRNA (ENSSSCG00000047565.1)". The record is from RNAcentral. Lineage: Eukaryota; Metazoa; Chordata; Mammalia; Artiodactyla; Suidae.